AGUUUGAUCCUGGCUCAGGAUGAACGCUAGCUAUAGGCUUAACACAUGCAAGUCGAGGGGAAACGACAUCGAAAGCUUGCUUUUGAUGGGCGUCGACCGGCGCACGGGUGAGUAACGCGUAUCCAACCUGCCCAUCACUUGGGGAUAACCUUGCGAAAGUAAGACUAAUACCCAAUGACGUCUCUAGAAGACAUCUGAAAGAGAUUAAAGAUUUAUCGGUGAUGGAUGGGGAUGCGUCUGAUUAGCUUGUUGGCGGGGUAACGGCCCACCAAGGCGACGAUCAGUAGGGGUUCUGAGAGGAAGGUCCCCCACAUUGGAACUGAGACACGGUCCAAACUCCUACGGGAGGCAGCAGUGAGGAAUAUUGGUCAAUGGGCGAGAGCCUGAACCAGCCAAGUAGCGUGCAGGAAGACGGCCCUAUGGGUUGUAAACUGCUUUUAUAAGGGAAUAAAGUGAGUCUCGUGAGACUUUUUGCAUGUACCUUAUGAAUAAGGACCGGCUAAUUCCGUGCCAGCAGCCGCGGUAAUACGGAAGGUCCGGGCGUUAUCCGGAUUUAUUGGGUUUAAAGGGAGCGUAGGCCGGAGAUUAAGCGUGUUGUGAAAUGUAGACGCUCAACGUCUGCACUGCAGCGCGAACUGGUUUCCUUGAGUACGCACAAAGUGGGCGGAAUUCGUGGUGUAGCGGUGAAAUGCUUAGAUAUCACGAAGAACUCCGAUUGCGAAGGCAGCUCACUGGAGCGCAACUGACGCUGAAGCUCGAAAGUGCGGGUAUCGAACAGGAUUAGAUACCCUGGUAGUCCGCACGGUAAACGAUGGAUGCCCGCUGUUGGUCUGAAUAGGUCAGCGGCCAAGCGAAAGC
This 858-nucleotide ribosomal RNA is filed under the name uncultured bacterium. Its description in RNAcentral is "bacterial SSU rRNA". It matches the Rfam family "Bacterial small subunit ribosomal RNA", at positions 10 to 858 of the family's 1533-position model. The record is from RNAcentral.